This 381-nucleotide ribosomal RNA is filed under the name uncultured Arcobacter sp. Its description in RNAcentral is "bacterial SSU rRNA". It matches the Rfam family "Bacterial small subunit ribosomal RNA", at positions 1004 to 1382 of the family's 1533-position model. Lineage: Bacteria; Pseudomonadati; Campylobacterota; Epsilonproteobacteria; Campylobacterales; Arcobacteraceae. The record is from RNAcentral.
AGAUUAGAGUGUGCUAGCUUGCUAGAAUUUAGAUACAGGUGCUGCACGGCUGUCGUCAGCUCGUGUCGUGAGAUGUUGGGUUAAGUCCCGCAACGAGCGCAACCCUCGUGUUUAGUUGCUAACAGUUCGGCUGAGAACUCUAAACAGACUGCCUACGCAAGUAGGAGGAAGGUGAGGACGACGUCAAGUCAUCAUGGCCCUUACGGCCAGGGCUACACACGUGCUACAAUGGGGUAUACAAAGAGCAGCGAUACGGUGACGUGGAGCAAAUCUAGAAAAUGCCUCUCAGUUCGGAUUGUAGUCUGCAACUCGACUACAUGAAGUUGGAAUCGCUAGUAAUCGUAGAUCAGCAAUGCUACGGUGAAUACGUUCCCGGGUCUU